This 812-nucleotide ribosomal RNA is filed under the name uncultured bacterium. Its description in RNAcentral is "bacterial SSU rRNA". It matches the Rfam family "Bacterial small subunit ribosomal RNA", at positions 8 to 796 of the family's 1533-position model. The record is from RNAcentral.
AGAGUUUGAUCAUGGCUCAGGACGAACGCUGGCGGCGUGCUUAACACAUGCAAGUCGAACGAACUUGAUGAAGAGCUUGCUCUUCAGAAAAGUGAGUGGCGGACGGGUGAGUAACACGUGGGUAAUCUACCUCUGAAACGGGGAUAACUCAUCGAAAGGUGAGCUAAUACCGGAUGAGCUUCACAGUGCGCAUGUACAGUGAAGGAAAGGUGCCGCAAGGUGCCGAUCAGAGAUGAGCCCGCGUCCCAUUAGCUAGUUGGUGAGGUAAAAGCUCACCAAGGCAACGAUGGGUAGCCGGCCUGAGAGGGUGACCGGCCACACUGGGACUGAGACACGGCCCAGACUCCUACGGGAGGCAGCAGUGGGGAAUAUUCGGCAAUGGGGGAAACCCUGACCGAGCAACGCCGCGUGGGUGAAGAAGUUUUUCGGAACGUAAAGCCCUGUCGUGAGGGAAGAAAGAACUUCUACUGAAUAGGUAGAGGAAGUGACGGUACCUUACAAGAAAGCUCCGGCUAACUACGUGCCAGCAGCCGCGGUAAUACGUAGGGAGCAAGCGUUGUCCGGAAUCAUUGGGCGUAAAGGGCGCGUAGGCGGUUUAUUAAGUCAAGUGUGAAAAUCACAGGCUCAACCUGUGAACUGCGCUUGAAACUGGUAGACUAGAGAUCAGGAGAGGAAAGUGGAAUUCCUAGUGUAGCGGUGAAAUGCGUAGAUAUUAGGAAGAACAUCGAUGGCGAAGGCAGCUUUCUGGCCUGACACUGACGCUGAGGCGCGAAAGCGUGGGGAGCAAACAGGAUUAGAUACCCUAGUAGUCC